CCAAAUAAGCGAUGAUCGCUCUUCGAAGCUCCAUAAGGAGCGAGGGGGAGAGGAAAGUCCGGACUUCAACUGCCCCUUUGGGGCAGAAAUGGUAACGGGUAACGCCCGUCCUUUUAAUAGCAAUAUUAAAAGAGGACCAGUGCCACAGAGACGACUCUAGUCCACCGAAUCCUCGUGCGAAGGUGGACAAAAGGUGAAAAGUGUUUUGAUGUUUUUGUUCUCGAGACAAAAGCUACAAAACUCGGCCUCUAGCAAUAGAGCAACCGCGGUAAACUCUACCUGAAGCAAGGACAAAUCCACCAAUGCCUUUGGCAUGGGUGGAGCUAAGUAGUCCGCUUGAGCCCUUAGGUAACUAACGGCCCAGAUAGAUGAUCAUCUCUCUCCGUAGCUCCAAAGGAGCGUAGGAGAGAACAAAAUCCGGCUUAUGCUUAUUUGGAUUU
Molecule: RNase P RNA, 440 nt
Filed under: Candidatus Buchananbacteria bacterium RBG_13_39_9
Lineage: Bacteria; Candidatus Buchananiibacteriota
Description: RNase P RNA component class A
Rfam family: Bacterial RNase P class A
About the family: Ribonuclease P (RNase P) is a ubiquitous endoribonuclease, found in archaea, bacteria and eukarya as well as chloroplasts and mitochondria. Its best characterised activity is the generation of mature 5'-ends of tRNAs by cleaving the 5'-leader elements of precursor-tRNAs.
Source: RNAcentral